RNAcentral lists this ribosomal RNA (301 nucleotides) under uncultured bacterium. Its description in RNAcentral is "partial 16S ribosomal RNA". It matches the Rfam family "Bacterial small subunit ribosomal RNA", at positions 509 to 807 of the family's 1533-position model. The record is from RNAcentral.
CAGCAGCCACGGGAAUACAGAGGGUGCAAGCGUUAAUCGGAAUUACUGGGCGUAAAGCGCGCGUAGGUGGUUUGUUAAGUUGGAUGUGAAAUCCCCGGGCUCAACCUGGGAACUGCAUCCAAAACUGGCAAGCUAGAGUAUGGUAGAGGGUGGUGGAAUUUCCUGUGUAGCGGUGAAAUGCGUAGAUAUAGGAAGGAACACCAGUGGCGAAGGCGACCACCUGGACUGAUACUGACACUGAGGUGCGAAAGCGUGGGGAGCAAACAGGAUUAGAUACCCGUGUAGUCCCUGUCUCUUAUAC